CAUGCAGUCGAGCGAGAAAGGGAACUUCGGUUCCUGAGUAAAGCGGCGGACGGGUGAGUAACACGUGGGUAAUCUGCCCUUGGGUGGGGAAUAACUCAGGGAAACCUGGGCUAAUUCCGCAUGACACUUUCGAUACAUACGUAUUGAGAAUCAAAGCUGGGGACCCUUCGGGGCCUGGCGCCUGAGGAGGAGCCCGCGGCCAAUUAGCUUGAUGGUGAGGUAAUGGCUCACCAUGGCUACGAUUGGUAGCCGGCCUGAGAGGGCGGACGGUCACACUGGGACUGAGACACGGCCCAGACUCCUACGGGAGGCAGCAGUGGGGAAUUUUUGUCAAUGGGGGAAACCCUGAACAAGCAACGCCGCGUGAAGGACGAAGACCUUCGGGUUGUAAACUUCUGUCGGAGGGGACGAAAGCUUUCGUGGUCAAUACCCAUGAUUGUUGACGGUACCCUAUGAGGAAGCCCCGGCUAACUCCGUGCCAGCAGCCGCGGUAAUACGGGGGGGGGCAAGCGUUGUUCGGAAUUACUGGGCGUAAAGGGCGCGUAGGCGGGCGGGAAAGUCUCUCGUGAAAUCCCACGGCUCAACCGUGGAACUGCGGGAGAUACUACUCGUCUUGAGUUC
Molecule: ribosomal RNA, 621 nt
Filed under: uncultured bacterium
Lineage: Bacteria
Description: bacterial SSU rRNA
Rfam family: Bacterial small subunit ribosomal RNA
Source: RNAcentral